Molecule: ribosomal RNA, 492 nt
Filed under: uncultured bacterium
Lineage: Bacteria
Description: partial 16S ribosomal RNA
Rfam family: Bacterial small subunit ribosomal RNA
Source: RNAcentral
AGUGAACGCUGGCGGUAGGCCUAACACAUGCAAGUCGAACGGCAGCACAGUAAGAGCUUGCUCUUACGGGUGGCGAGUGGCGGACGGGUGAGGAAAAUAUCGGAAUCUACUUUUUCGUGGGGGAUAACGUAGGGAAACUUACGCUAAUACCGCAUACGACCUACGGGUGAAAGCAGGGGAUCUUCGGACCUUGCGCGAUUGAAUGAGCCGAUGUCGGAUUAGCUAGUUGGCGGGGUAAAGGCCCACCAAGGCGACGAUCCGUAGCUGGUCUGAGAGGAUGAUCAGCCACACUGGAACUGAGACACGGUCCAGACUCCUAAGGGAGGCAGCAGUGGGGAAUAUUGGACAAUGGGCGCAAGCCUGAUCCAGCCAUACCGCGUGGGUGAAGAAGGCCUUCGGGUUGUAAAGCCCUUUUGUUGGGAAAGAAAAGCAGCAGGUUAAUACCCCGCUGUUCUGACGGUACCCAAAGAAUAAGCACCGGCUAACUUCGUG